AAUAAGUACAGUUUUACACUAUUCAUGUUCAACGUUUGACCGUUCGUCUUAUUUGAAAAAUUUGUAUGAUUAGUAUUUUUUAUUGCUAUUAGAAGAUAAAACGUGAAUAGUACUUUAUGUGUGACUAAAUAUUUUUAAAUUUUUCAUAAAUUUUUAAAUAAGAUGAACUGUCAAACAUUAGACACGGAUACCUACGGCUGCACUUAUU
Oryza sativa Indica Group (long-grained rice) is the source of this 208-nucleotide microRNA precursor. It matches the Rfam family "MIR812 microRNA precursor family". NCBI's taxonomy places the organism in Eukaryota, Viridiplantae, Streptophyta, Magnoliopsida, Poales, Poaceae. The record is from Rfam.